This 253-nucleotide ribosomal RNA is filed under the name uncultured bacterium. Its description in RNAcentral is "partial 16S ribosomal RNA". It matches the Rfam family "Bacterial small subunit ribosomal RNA", at positions 524 to 776 of the family's 1533-position model. The record is from RNAcentral.
UACAGGGGGGGCAAGCGUUGUUCGGAAUUACUGGGCGUAAAGGGCUCGUAGGCGGCCAACUAAGUCCGACGUGAAAUCCCAAAGCUUAACUUUGGAACUGCGUCGGAUACUGGAUGGCUUGAAUUCGGGAGAGGGAUGCAGAAUUCCAGGUGUAGCGGUGAAAUGCGUAGAUAUCUGGAGGAACACCGGUGGCGAAGGCGGCAUCCUGGACCGGCAUUGACGCUGGGGCGCGAAAGCUAGGGGAGCAAACGGG